Molecule: ribosomal RNA, 1105 nt
Filed under: Escherichia coli
Lineage: Bacteria; Pseudomonadati; Pseudomonadota; Gammaproteobacteria; Enterobacterales; Enterobacteriaceae
Description: partial 23S ribosomal RNA
Rfam family: Bacterial large subunit ribosomal RNA
Source: RNAcentral
GAAGCGUCUGGAAAGGCGCGCGAUACAGGGUGACAGCCCCGUACACAAAAAUGCACAUGCUGUGAGCUCGAUGAGUAGGGCGGGACACGUGGUAUCCUGUCUGAAUAUGGGGGGACCAUCCUCCAAGGCUAAAUACUCCUGACUGACCGAUAGUGAACCAGUACCGUGAGGGAAAGGCGAAAAGAACCCCGGCGAGGGGAGUGAAAAAGAACCUGAAACCGUGUACGUACAAGCAGUGGGAGCCUCUUUAUGGGGUGACUGCGUACCUUUUGUAUAAUGGGUCAGCGACUUAUAUUCUGUAGCAAGGUUAACCGAAUAGGGGAGCCGAAGGGAAACCGAGUCUUAACUGGGCGUUAAGUUGCAGGGUAUAGACCCGAAACCCGGUGAUCUAGCCAUGGGCAGGUUGAAGGUUGGGUAACACUAACUGGAGGACCGAACCGACUAAUGUUGAAAAAUUAGCGGAUGACUUGUGGCUGGGGGUGAAAGGCCAAUCAAACCGGGAGAUAGCUGGUUCUCCCCGAAAGCUAUUUAGGUAGCGCCUCGUGAACUCAUCUCCGGGGGUAGAGCACUGUUUCGGCAAGGGGGUCAUCCCGACUUACCAACCCGAUGCAAACUGCGAAUACCGGAGAAUGUUAUCACGGGAGACACACGGCGGGUGCUAACGUCCGUCGUGAAGAGGGAAACAACCCAGACCGCCAGCUAAGGUCCCAAAGUCAUGGUUAAGUGGGAAACGAUGUGGGAAGGCCCAGACAGCCAGGAUGUUGGCUUAGAAGCAGCCAUCAUUUAAAGAAAGCGUAAUAGCUCACUGGUCGAGUCGGCCUGCGCGGAAGAUGUAACGGGGCUAAACCAUGCACCGAAGCUGCGGCAGCGACGCUGAUGCGUUGUUGGGUAGGGGAGCGUUCUGUAAGCCUGUGAAGGUGUGCUGUGAGGCAUGCUGGAGGUAUCAGAAGUGCGAAUGCUGACAUAAGUAACGAUAAAGCGGGUGAAAAGCCCGCUCGCCGGAAGACCAAGGGUUCCUGUCCAACGUUAAUCGGGGCAGGGUGAGUCGACCCCUAAGGCGAGGCCGAAAGGCGUAGUCGAUGGGAAACAGGUUAAUAUUCCUGUA